Molecule: ribosomal RNA, 484 nt
Filed under: uncultured bacterium
Lineage: Bacteria
Description: partial 16S ribosomal RNA
Rfam family: Bacterial small subunit ribosomal RNA
Source: RNAcentral
AUUGAACGCUGGCGGCAGGCCUAACACAUGCAAGUCGAGCGGAUGAAGGGAGCUUGCUCCUGGAUUCAGCGGCGGACGGGUGAGUAAUGCCUAGGAAUCUGCCUGGUAGUGGGGGAUAACGUCCGGAAACGGGCGCUAAUACCGCAUACGUCCUGAGGGAGAAAGUGGGGGAUCUUCGGACCUCACGCUAUCAGAUGAGCCUAGGUCGGAUUAGCUAGUUGGUGGGGUAAAGGCCUACCAAGGCGACGAUCCGUAACUGGUCUGAGAGGAUGAUCAGUCACACUGGAACUGAGACACGGUCCAGACUACUACGGGAGGCAGCAGUGGGGAAUAUUGGACAAUGGGCGAAAGCCUGAUCCAGCCAUGCCGCGUGUGUGAAGAAGGUCUUCGGAUUGUAAAGCACGUUAAGUUGGGAGGAAGGGCAGUAAGUUAAUACCUUGCUGUUUUGACGUUACCAACAGAAUAAGCACCGGCUAACUUCGUG